Leptonychotes weddellii (Weddell seal) is the source of this 616-nucleotide non-coding RNA. NCBI's taxonomy places the organism in Eukaryota, Metazoa, Chordata, Mammalia, Carnivora, Phocidae. The record is from RefSeq and is a predicted model, not a curated record.
GGACAUAGCUUUCAGGAAAGUCUCGGCUCGCGUGGAGGCUCCCCAAGGGAUCCUCCCCAAAGCCCUGGCUUCUGACCUGGGGCUUUACCUGGUGUGGGGAUAGGAGCGAGCUCUGGAGGUCUCGGGCCCCUCCCAAGGACCAUGCCGCAGCCCUGCUGACCCAGGAGUAGGGGCCUGAAGGCAGGGCGCCUGGAAUGGGCUGUGUGUUCUGCAAGAAGUUGGAGCCGGGGCUCAAGGAGGAUGUUGGCCUGGAAAGGGACUUCAGGGGCAGUGGGGCUGUAGACCGCUAUGGCCCUGACCCUACUCAGGCCCGGACUGGGUCCUCCUUUGCCCAUAUCCCCAACUACAACUUCCCCACUCAGUCCACCAGCCAUGCCUUCCUUGAUGGGGGCGCCAUCAGGAGCAUCUCCGGUGAGUCUAGUGGGCUGGAGGCGGGCACUGCCUGGCCCCUGGGAGAACCUGGGGGAAAGGGAGCCAUCUUUAGGAGGCUCCACUAUGACGUGGGAGAUACCGGCUUUCAGAGCACAGUCUGAGGAAGAAUGUACAGCCCUACCUCAGAAAUCCUGGUCUGGGGCGCCUGGGUGGCUCAGUUGGUUGGGCAGCUGCCUUCGGCUCA